CUAGGCUCCAGGUCCAGCAGGCCACCCCAGGGGCCACCUGCUGCCCUGGGAGUCAGGGGCCCAGAGCCAGGACUGGCCCAGCCCUUGUAACCUGGGUGCCUGGCUCUUCAAGUCUCCAGGUCUGUAAAUAGGGCAGGUGAGUCCAGCUCACUGGGAACCGUCCCCACCAGCAGGAGCCUCCCACUGGGCUCCUGCACACCAGCCUGGCCCUAGGGACCCCACUGCAGUGCUCUAGGUGCCACCUGCUCCCACGUCCCCCAGGCCCUGGGACUUCCCGAGAAAGGCCCAGGAGGGGCUCUCAGAAUGUCCCACGGUUGCUGCAGUCGGAGGACUUGGCAGGGGCCCAUGGCCGGAACAGGGAAGCAGAUCAAGUUCCGCGGCCUGGAAGUCAGGCUUGAUGGCAGACGGGCAAGUGGGGCCAACUGCAGACGCUGUGACCUGCCACUCGGCGGGGAACGUCCAGCGGGCCUCGGCCACCCGGCCCUUGCUGCUCCGGCCUGUGAGGCGGCACCUGCAGCUGUCUGGUCAGGGCUGGGCGGGAACCUGUUCAGCUGGCAUUAGCCCAGGACAGAGCCCACAAAUGGCACUCGCUGUCUUUAGAGAAGCAGAAGUGCCUAAAGGAGCUGGUGUGGACGCCCCCACGCACCUAGGUGUUCUCACUGCUCAGUCGGCCCAGCAGGAUCCCGCACUAGGAGGGAAGGGGACUGUAGCACACGCCUGUAAUCCAGCAACGCAGGAGGCUGAGGCAGGAGGAUGGCAAGUUUGAGGCCAGCCUCGGCAACUUAACAAGGCCCUCCUUCAAAAUAAAAAAUAAAAAGGGAUGGGGGUACAGCUCAGUGUUAAGCCCCUCUGGGUUCAAUCCCCAGUCCCCCUCCAAAGGAAAGGAAGAAGAAGGGACUGUUCACAGCUCCCCCAGGUCAGAUCUCUAGAGGCGGAGGGUAUGCAGCCUCCGACUGGCUGAGGGCCAGGGCACGGAGGGCCACAGCCUGGGGAGGUUCACCUAUCCAGGCCCGACUUCUCUGAGCUCUCCUCACGCCUGGGGAAAGAGGCUCCCCGGGGCCCAUGACAUCAGAGGAGAGCCCUAUGUCAGCUUCCUGGGUGGCAGGCAGAGGGCCCUCCGGAAGUGUGCUCCUAAUGGACACGGCCCUGGACAGCAAGGGCGGCGGCCAUGGAGGAGACCACGAGGAGGGGCGGUGCCCGUUCGCCCUGGGAGAGGGAUGAGGUUGCCUUCCAUGGGCUUGGCAGGCUAUGGGAGCCCACGGAGACGCCUCUGGGUUCACCUGAGAAGGAAAGGGGGGCAGUGAGCUGCCCUGCUGUCAGCACACGAAGCCUGGGAGGUCACCCGCCAGGUGACCUUGGGAGCCCAAGGAAAGGCCAGAGGUCUGGGGAGUGAGGGCCAAGGCUGGGGUGCACUCAGGGGCCAGGAGAAGCUGGAAAUGGCAGUGUGUGCCCUGCCUGGCAGACAGAGCCCCUAGAGCCCCCGGGCAGGAGGAGGCAGGGGCCUGGCCCAGACAGACGGGCAGAGGGAAGAACCGGAGGUGGUCGCCUGCAGCUCAGGCCCGGCAAGGGCACCCUAGACACUGCAGGGGAGCAGCAUCCAAGAGGGUGGGGGAGCUGGGGGAGCUUCCUGGAAGAGGCGACCCUUCACCCUGGGUGGGAGGAUGUCUCAGUCUCUCCCGCAGUCACAGUGGGGCCUCUGCAGGGACACCAGAGCUGGCAGGUCACCUGGCCUCUUGCCUACAGGUGGCAGAAGGACCUAAGCUAUUUGGCUUUUUUUUUCUUCUUUGAUCUCUCUCUCUCAGUAACACGCUCAGGGCUCGGUGGCACUGGGCACGUCACCAUGUCUGGCUGCAGAAGGUUCCCACCACCCUGGAGGACCCCGGCUCUGUCCUGGCCCCCAGCACUAUCUCCAGCACCUGCGUCCCCCAAGCUGAGUUCUCACCUGGGGGUUUGCCUGCUGGGGACAUUCCACAUCCUCAUCCCCCACCCCGUCUCUCUCUCCCUCCCUCUCUCUCUCUCUCUCCCUCGCUCUCUCCCCCUCUCCCUCCCUCUCUCCCUCCCUCUCUCCCUCCCUCUCUCCCUCCCUCCCUCUCUCCCUCUCCCUCUCUCCCUCUCCCUCUCUCUCUCUCUCUCUCUCUCUCUUAGUUGUAGGUAGACACCAUCUUUAUUUAUUCCUUUAUUUCUAUGUGGUGCUGAGGAUGGAACCCAGGGCCUUGCCUGUGUGAGGUGAGUGCUCUGCCACUGAGCCCCAGCCCCAGGCCCCUACAUCCUCUUUAAAGAGAGAAAAAGUUCAAAGAGCAGAGGUCGGGCCCCAGGCAGCCCUCCUGCCAGCGGUCAGCUCCCCUCAGUUUCCUUGCUCUCUGGACAGAAGCUGCAGGUGCAGCUCCCAGCUGGCCACGCCCCUGUCACAAACCUGCGCCCGCCCCUCCUGCUUCUGUGAUUCGGGCCUCGGCUCUCCCCUCUAGGUAAUGGCUGUGCAGCCCUGGAGGGGCGGGCAUCUCGGUGGGCAGCAGGGAUGGGAGAUGCUCAGAAAGGCAUAUUCGGUCCCCCAGUGGGAGGGACCAGGGAGAUUCCUGGCAGGGGUCAGAGCUGGCCAAUUGCCCAAGGCUAUGGCAUGGGCCCUGAAGAGGACAGGGCUAGAUCUGAGCCAGGCAGGCUGGCCCAGCUCCUGCACAGUGUCCCUUUGCUGUGCAGCUUUGAACAAGUGGCUGGGUGCUUCCUGUCCUGCCUCCCGUUCCGGGCCAUCCAUCAGCUCAGCGGUUACUGUCCGGAGCCAGCGAGUGGCCAUAAAUGCGCCCAGCCCCCGCCUCAAGUUGCCAGGUUUCCUGUUGUAGGAACACCGUGGGGCGUCUCACACACACCGCUAAUGACAGGCAUCAUGGAGCAAUAAAAGUGA
Molecule: long non-coding RNA, 2896 nt
Filed under: Marmota monax (woodchuck)
Lineage: Eukaryota; Metazoa; Chordata; Mammalia; Rodentia; Sciuridae
Source: RNAcentral